Molecule: long non-coding RNA, 1188 nt
Organism: Bombyx mori (domestic silkworm)
Lineage: Eukaryota; Metazoa; Arthropoda; Insecta; Lepidoptera; Bombycidae
Exons: 2
Source: RefSeq, a predicted model, not a curated record
AAGACCUUGGCUUGGCUAUAAUUAUUACAGAGAGAAAGAGAGAGAGAGAGAAAGGGAAAGAGUGAGAGUAUACUUUAUUGCACAUCAAAAUACUACAAUAUUGAAAAACAGUGAACAGAAAAUAAAAUUAUACAAUAGGUGGCCUUAUCGGUGAAAGCGAUUUCUUCCAGACAGACGCCGCUUUUAUCUAGAGAAAUUCUGAAAAAGAUACAUCAGGAAACUUCACUGAGGAUGGCGGGCGGGAUAUGUCAGAGUCGAAUUAACUAAAACCUCCUGUCGCUCAACAACCAACAUCCAAACCUCGUAUGAGACAGAACUCAUGAAAAGGCAAAAGGGGGAAAGUGAAGCGUUUAGUGCGGAGCAUAUCUCUCCCAUCACCCUCCCCCUCGGGACGCCAGACCGGCGGUCGUCGGCGCUACGACCGACCACCAGCCCUCUCGGUCGGCAGGCUGUCCGAAGCCCGCCUAGAUGGCGCCGGUUAGAGUGAGUUACCCUACGGUAUCCUUGAAAAAUGUUUGAAAAAGGUAAAGCAUGUUCAAACAAACAGCCCUAAACAGAUAAGUAAUAAUCGUUCAUAAUUAUUUUAUAGCAUCUUAAAGUUAGCGCACUUCUCACCGCCGAACGUAAUGCAUUCCACAAUCGAAUCGAAUAUUAUUCAGGCAAAACAUAAUUCACUAAGAAUAUUUAAAAUGAAAAUUAUAUUUUAUUUAUUUGAAAUUUAAUUGAAGUACUAGACAGAAAUUUAUUUCAUACUAGCUUUCGCUCACUGCCGGACUUUCGAAGUCAAUGUGUAAAAUUCCCUUGGGCACCCUACUUUUUUAUUCGAUACAAAGUAGGUAAUCUAUGUCUUUUUCUGUACCUUUUAUAACUUUUUUAAAAUAAUUUCACGGUGACAGGUUGAGAAGUUAAGACGUGAAAACUUACUAAACGAUCAAACUCACGUUCGUUUAUGUAUUAUUAAUAUGUAUUUUAAUUAUUGUUUUAUAUAUGUAGGUAUAAUGUACUAGCCGUACUCACCCACUUCGCUGGGCAUUUCAAAAUUAACAUUAUUAUUUAUUGUCAUUAUUAUUAGGGAGUCCAACACUCAUAUAAAUAUUAGCCUAUCCAUUAAGUACAUGUAUUUUCUACAUGGAUACCAAGUUUCAAGGCAAUCGGAUGCAUGGUUCAGUAGUUAUAACGGAACAUCCC